UCCAGGAUGGCCGAGUGGUUAAGGCGUUGGACUUAAGUUCCAAUGUACGGAUGUACGCGUGGGUUCGAACCCCACUCCUGGUA
Molecule: transfer RNA, 83 nt
Filed under: Nematostella vectensis (starlet sea anemone)
Lineage: Eukaryota; Metazoa; Cnidaria; Anthozoa; Actiniaria; Edwardsiidae
Rfam family: tRNA
About the family: Transfer RNA (tRNA) molecules are approximately 80 nucleotides in length.
Source: Rfam by way of RNAcentral